RNAcentral lists this ribosomal RNA (468 nucleotides) under uncultured bacterium. RNAcentral's name for it is "partial 16S ribosomal RNA". It matches the Rfam family "Bacterial small subunit ribosomal RNA", at positions 28 to 507 of the family's 1533-position model. The record is from RNAcentral.
GACGAACGCUGGCGGCGUGCUUAACACAUGCAAGUCGAACGGAAAGGCCCUGCUUUUGUGGGGUGCUCGAGUGGCGAACGGGUGAGUAACACGUGAGUAACCUGCCCUUGACUUUGGGAUAACUUCAGGAAACUGGGGCUAAUACCGGAUAGGAGCUCCUGCUGCAUGGUGGGGGUUGGAAAGUUUCGGCGGUUGGGGAUGGACUCGCGGCUUAUCAGCUUGUUGGUGGGGUAGUGGCUUACCAAGGCUUUGACGGGUAGCCGGCCUGAGAGGGUGGCCGGCCUCAUUGGGACUGAGAGACGGCGCAGACUCCUACGGGAGGCAGCAGUGGGGAAUAUUGCACAAUGGGCGGAAGCCUGAUGCAGCAACGCCGCGUGCGGGAUGACGGCCUUCGGGUGGUAAACCGCUGUCGCCUGUGACGAAGCGUGGGUGACGGUAAUGGGUAAAGAAGCACCGGCUAACUACGUG